This 496-nucleotide ribosomal RNA is filed under the name uncultured bacterium. Its description in RNAcentral is "partial 16S ribosomal RNA". It matches the Rfam family "Bacterial small subunit ribosomal RNA", at positions 28 to 506 of the family's 1533-position model. The record is from RNAcentral.
GAUGAACGCUGGCGGCGUGCCUAAUACAUGCAAGUCGAGCGAACAGACGAGGAGCUUGCUCCUCUGACGUUAGCGGCGGACGGGUGAGUAACACGUGGAUAACCUACCUAUAAGACUGGGAUAACUUCGGGAAACCGGAGCUAAUACCGGAUAAUAUAUUGAACCGCAUGGUUCAAUAGUGAAAGACGGUUUUGCUGUCACUUAUAGAUGGAUCCGCGCCGCAUUAGCUAGUUGGUAAGGUAACGGCUUACCAAGGCGACGAUGCGUAGCCGACCUGAGAGGGUGAUCGGCCACACUGGAACUGAGACACGGUCCAGACUCCUACGGGAGGCAGCAGUAGGGAAUCUUCCGCAAUGGGCGAAAGCUUGACGGAGCAACGCCGCGUGAGUGAUGAAGGUCUUCGGAUCGUAAAACUCUGUUAUUAGGGAAGAACAAAUGUGUAAGUAACUAUGCACGUCUGGACGGUACCUAAUCAGAAAGCCACGGCUAACUACGU